GUUCUUCCAGAGCUCAGUAGUUCACUGCAAUUCUCAGUAAACAUUCCAUUGAAAACCAUAGGAAUCCAAGUGCACGAAAGUUCAGUUCGAAAGUCAGACCAAGGAAGACCUAAGAAAGUCUGUGGUUUAAGGGAGUGAUUCUCAACCCAGUCCUCAUUCUGGACUGUUGAUGCAUAUUGAGGACUGUGUAAGGAAGCACUCUUUUAAGGUCUUGGAAAACAUAUUAUGUACGAACACAG
Pelobates cultripes (western spadefoot toad) is the source of this 239-nucleotide non-coding RNA. NCBI's taxonomy places the organism in Eukaryota, Metazoa, Chordata, Amphibia, Anura, Pelobatidae. The record is from the annotation of a GenBank genome assembly.